This 497-nucleotide ribosomal RNA is filed under the name uncultured bacterium. RNAcentral's name for it is "partial 16S ribosomal RNA". It matches the Rfam family "Bacterial small subunit ribosomal RNA", at positions 28 to 507 of the family's 1533-position model. The record is from RNAcentral.
GAUGAACGCUGGCGGCGUGCCUAAUACAUGCAAGUCGAGCGAACAGACGAGGAGCUUGCUCCUCUGACGUUAGCGGCGGACGGGUGAGUAACACGUGGAUAACCUACCUAUAAGACUGGGAUAACUUCGGGAAACCGGAGCUAAUACCGGAUAAUAUAUUGAACCGCAUGGUUCAAUAGUGAAAGACGGUUUUGCUGUCACUUAUAGAUGGAUCCGCGCCGCAUUAGCUAGUUGGUAAGGUAACGGCUUACCAAGGCAACGAUGCGUAGCCGACCUGAGAGGGGGAUCGGCCGCACUGGAACUGAAACACGGUCCAGACUCCUGCGGGAGGCAGCAGUAGGGAAUCUUCCGCAAUGGGCGAAAGCCUGACGGAGCAACGCCACGUGAGUGAUGAAGGUCUUCGGAUCGUAAAACUCUGUUAUUAGGGAAGAACAAAUGUGUAAGUAACUAUGCACGUCUUGACGGUACCUAAUCAGAAAGCCACGGCUAACUACGUG